GACGAACGCUGGCGGCGUGCUUAACACAUGCAAGUCGAACGGAAAGGCCCUGCUUUUGUGGGGUGCUCGAGUGGCGAACGGGUGAGUAACACGUGAGUAACCUGCCCUUGACUUUGGGAUAACUUCAGGAAACUGGGGCUAAUACCGGAUAGGAGCUCCUGCUGCAUGGUGGGGGUUGGAAAGUUUCGGCGGUUGGGGAUGGACUCGCGGCUUAUCAGCUUGUUGGUGGGGUAGUGGCUUACCAAGGCUUUGACGGGUAGCCGGCCUGAGAGGGUGACCGGCCACAUUGGGACUGAGAUACGGCACAGACUCCUACGGGAGGCAGCAGUGGGGAAUAUUGCAAAAUGGGCGGAAGCAUGAUGCAGCAACGACGCGUGCGGGAUGACGGCCUUCGGGUUGUAAACCGCUUUCGCCUGUGACGAAGCGUGAGUGACGGUAAUGGGUAAAGAAGCACCGGAUAACUACGU
Molecule: ribosomal RNA, 467 nt
Filed under: uncultured bacterium
Lineage: Bacteria
Description: partial 16S ribosomal RNA
Rfam family: Bacterial small subunit ribosomal RNA
Source: RNAcentral